CUGCUGCCAGGCUCCGGGCUCCGGUACAGAGGGGCUGGCACUGCCCCACGGCCAACUCCGGCAUCCGCCACCGUCCGUGCCGCUGAAGUCAGGGAUGCGGAGAGUCAGCAAGGUGGCAGCUACUCCGUGCCAGACCCUGGAUGAGGAUUUAGGGAAGAGAGCGAGUCCAGCUCCUGGCCAGGGGGGAUGUGGGGAUGCUGCAACCAGCCCCCGAUCUCCAGGGCUCGUUUUGCCUGAGCAGGGCACGCAGCAGCAGCUUUUCAGAAAGGCUGAGCAGGAGCAUCUCAGCUCAAACCACAGGGCGAGACGGGAGCAGAAGGCAGCCCCCGAGAAGCCGGUAACCACAGCUGCCAGUCUGAAUCGCUUCCCAUAAACUUUGCUGUGAAUUGCUCCAGUGGAAAAACAAAAGCAGUGAUAAACAGGAAAGUUUGGUUUGCAAGAUAAUCCUCUCUAAUGGGAGGAGGCAGUAAGUGCCGGCAGAGGAGCCUUCACCAGUUGCUCGGUGCCCGUCACUGGGACAGACGGACCAGCCCCGCACCAGCUGCCUGCGGCCGCUGCUCCCCUCCAAGGUAUCUUCACAUGAAGUUUUCUGCUAGUGGUGGCAAGGAGAAAAGCAAACAAAAAGGAGCGAGGCAAGCCCGUGCAAUGAGCAGAAGAGGAAGGAGAGGAAUAAACUCUGAAAUAAAUUUCACUUUGGGGUUUGUUCUGGACUGAGGAAGCGCUGCCACGGCGGCACAGCCAACAGCUGAUCCCAAGCAGCUCCCAGACCUACGGGCACGACCCUUUUGCCCAGGAAGAUGGGUUUCAGCUCAGCAUCUUCAUUUUGAUUUUUUCCAGGCGCUUUGUGCGCUGAAGGAUGGACUGGAGCUGAUCCGUGUCUGUCUGCGCCAACGCGGAGAUGAUGCCUUGGCACGAGGCAGGGCAGUGGGAAGGACUCGAGGCGCUGGGCCAGGCGUGCUGGGGAGAGUUUCUGGGAGAAAUUGGGAGAGUUUCUGCCGGGUGAGGGUGCAGAGGCUGCCUCCGGGACCUGUCGGAUCGAGGGACGAGCACAGCAUCGGUGGGGAGCCUGUGGAAUUUUCACCUCCGGGUCCCCACGCACCAGAAAGCAGCCCUGCUCCAUGCCAGGGCUUCAGCGAGGAUAAAUCCCUCCAGAUCCCAGCGUGCUGGCAGAUCCUCCCCGGGCCGGAGCAGCCUGGCAAGGAGGGAGCUGACCCCCAGCCCUGCCCAUUCCCACUGCAGGGCUGCCCGCAGCCUCCGGCCACCGGAGCCAUUUCACCACCCAAACCGGCAGCGGUAGCUGGAUCGCGCCUGCACACGAGCAACUGCUCAAGAGCAAGAAACUUUGCAUAAAUAUUCAUCUCGAUUAAUAUACAUGAGGGCUGCAGAAAGCCCGGCUGAAGCUGUCAGUGAGGAUGUUAUCUCAGCUGCUCGGUCUGGCAGGAGCGCAGUGUUCAACGCCGACACCUGAUGGGUUUUCGCAGCAGGAAAACCCAGAGGUCGGAUGUUGAGAAGCCACUCGGCCACGUCCCCUGUCCCCUUCUCAGCAAGGGGGGUGGCAUCUCCAGGGUCCUCUCCCCCAGGGGGCUGGAGCCCCAGUGCCUCCCAGUAAGCUGUAAACUGGGAUACGCAGAGCGCAGGAGGCUGCGGUAGAUGAGGGCCAUGCCAGGCUGCACCCUGGUCGCUUUUGCCUCGGGUGCUGUGUGCUUUUUACCCCCACCAGUGACUGUCCCACAGAGGCACAGGGACCGCAGCCACGGAGCCCUGCCACGCUGCGGUGGCAUUGAGGCCACCGUGCCAGCACUCCCCAGCCCUGGGGCACGCAGGGAGAUGGAUCUGGAUAUUUUCAGCAAUCGCCAUGAGAGAAACUGAGGCAGAAGGACAGGCCCAGGGCUGCUGGGGGAGGCGGCGGCAGAGGCAGCAGCUUGAUCCUGGCCUCUUGGGAACCGCAACACGGUGAUACCGGAGCUGGCAGGUCCAGGUUCCAUGUGGCUCCUCCGGGACCCUGCCUUUGUCACUCCGCCAGCAACCCGGGGCAUAAACAACUGCCUGACAUUUCCGCACUGCCGCCAGGCUCCUUGGAUAAAAGCAGAACAUAAUUAGCAAAUUAAUCAGGAGACAAUAGCCGGGGAUCUAACGCUGCCGAGCUGUCAUUAGCUCCGUGCGGAGCUGACCCCGGGCAUGUUCAGGGCCAGGCGAGCCGGGGAUGCCCACGCUCGGGGAAGGGGCAGUCACAGUCCUCAUGUCCCCUCCGGGCUCGUGGCCCCUGCAUCCACGGUAGCCGGCGGGGCAGGAGGGGUGGCUGGCAUUUCGUGCCCCGUCAGGAGCCUGGGAAUGAAACCUUCAAAGGGCAGCACCUUCCCUCGCUCAUCAGAACAUUUAAAAACUGCGAAUCACGGUGAAUUUGCAUUCAGCUUAUUAGAUGCCCUGCAAAUACGGCGAACCUCGUUCAAACACAUUUCAGUGAUAAAAUGAUAUUGACUCUGAGUAAUUAAAAAUCAUUUCCAUAUUCAAAUACAACUGAUUGAGGAGAAA
Tyto alba (common barn owl) is the source of this 2532-nucleotide long non-coding RNA. RefSeq lists it as uncharacterized. The record is from RefSeq and is a predicted model, not a curated record. The transcript is spliced from 2 exons. Lineage: Eukaryota; Metazoa; Chordata; Aves; Strigiformes; Tytonidae.